GUGAAGUCCGUGCACGUAGCGUAGUAAUAAAGGGUGGUGCAAGCGGUAAUGGGAAUGACUGGGCUGAAAGCGUGGGGAUGCGGUAGAGUCAGGCAGGCGUGAAAGCCCGGGGCUUAACCUGGGAACGGCGAGUGAGACGGCUCGACUAGAGUGGGCUAGAGGAUCGUGGAAUUCCGGGGGUAGCGGUGAAAUGCGUAGAGAUCCGGAGGAACACCGAUGGCGAAGGCAGCGGUCUGGGGCCACACUGACGCUGAGGCACGAAAGCGUGGGGAACAAACAGGAUUAGAUACCCGUGUAGUC
RNAcentral lists this ribosomal RNA (300 nucleotides) under uncultured Staphylothermus sp. Its description in RNAcentral is "partial 16S ribosomal RNA". It matches the Rfam family "Bacterial small subunit ribosomal RNA", at positions 496 to 795 of the family's 1533-position model. Lineage: Archaea; Thermoproteati; Thermoproteota; Thermoprotei; Desulfurococcales; Desulfurococcaceae. The record is from RNAcentral.